RNAcentral lists this microRNA precursor (136 nucleotides) under Hordeum vulgare. RNAcentral's name for it is "microRNA MIR1122". It matches the Rfam family "MIR1120/MIR1122 microRNA precursor family". Lineage: Eukaryota; Viridiplantae; Streptophyta; Magnoliopsida; Poales; Poaceae. The record is from RNAcentral.
AAGAUACUACCUCCAUCCCAAAAUUCUUGUCUUAGAUUUAUCUAGAUGUGAAUGUAUCUGGUCACGUUUUAGUAUUUAGAUACAUUUAUUUUUAGACAAACCUAAGACAAGAAUUUUGAGACGGAGGGAGUAUAAA